RNA transcript from Quercus lobata, 4499 nucleotides. RefSeq lists it as uncharacterized. The transcript is spliced from 27 exons. NCBI's taxonomy places the organism in Eukaryota, Viridiplantae, Streptophyta, Magnoliopsida, Fagales, Fagaceae. The record is from RefSeq and is a predicted model, not a curated record.
AUAAUCUAUAUCAUUCACCUGCAGACUUAAUUUACUAUAGUGGGCUUGUUAUGAUUGGUUAUUUAAUUGUCAUAUCCUUGCACAUCAUUAUCAUUAUUUAUUCUUGAGUUGGUAUUAUAAUUCUGUAUCCCUAUAUAUGCAUUCUGAUAUCUUUGUAUGCUUCUGGACAGAAAAACCAUUUGUCUGGCUUGCACAAACCUUAUUUGAAGCUAUCUUUUGACACGGUUCAACAAUUAAUUGAUGUGAAGAGUGACCUAUUGCAUGUCGUUCAAAGAAACCAGGAAAAAUUUGAUGCUGCAGAAGCAUAUGAGUCCAUUAUAGCAGGGAAAAGAGAACAAAGGCCUCAAGAUUUUGUAGACUGUAUUGUUGAUCUCCGCGAAGACACUGAGAAAUUGAUGACUCAGAUGUACGAUGUGGGCAAUGGUAUGACGUUAGUAUAUCCAGUACUGGUCUUAUGCUGGAAAAGAGGACAGAUCUUUUGCAACGUGCUGAAGUGCAUGUUUGUGCAUUUGUUAUUGAGACUACAAAGCUUCCUUUGAAAUUUCCUGAUGCUGAAUACGAUUUAAUAAUGAUGAUUUCGUACAUGGUUGAUGGACAAGGGUACCCGAUUAUUAACAGAGAGCUUUCCUGAUAAGAAAAGAGUUGGGGGAGAUAACGUGGAUAGUUCCUUUGAAGCCUCAGACCGAAUAAAGAUGGAUAUGGGGCACUUAGAGGACCAUAUCAAAACCAAUAAGAAGCAAUCCCCUAAGGCUGAAGUUCAAAAUUCUUUAAAGCAAGAGAUUCUACAACUUGAGAAGAGAUUACAAGACCAAUUUGAGGUCCGCCGGGCUUUGGAAAAUGCAAUGGGAUAUAGGUCUUCCUCUCAGGAUAAUACAACUGGAACAGUAAUGCCCAAGCCAGCCACAGAGUUAAUCAAGGAAAUUGCAGUGUUAGAGUUGGAAGUAGUGUAUUUGGAGCAAUAUCUUCUCUCCUUGUACCGGAAAGCAUUUGACCAACAAAUAACUAUAUCUCCAUCUUCCAAGGAUGACAGAUUAAAAUCACCUAUAAAUACUCCAAGAGCAAGGAUCCACAAAGCUUCCAGACUUGAUAUUACAUCAAAGAGGGAAAGUUCAGUUGCACAAACUGGUUGUCAGUCGCUUGACAACCCAUGGAAGGAAUCCAAUGGAAUUGGUGGGGAGGAGAAGCUAUUAGAUUCUGGUGUUCAUCGCUGUCACUCCUCAUUAUCUCAACGUUCAGUGUAUUCGACUAGGACUUCACCUCCAGUUGAUUCUUUGUCUAAGGCUUUACGCGCUUGUCAUUCCCAACCUUUGUCCAUGAUGGAGUAUGCUCAUAAUACUUCGUCAAGUAUAAUCAGUCUGGCAGAGCAUCUCGGUACCCGCAUCUCUGAUCAUGUUCCAGAAACACCUAACAGGCUUUCUGAGGAUAUGAUUAAGUGCAUGUCAGCCAUAUAUUGCAAGCUAGCAGACCCGCCUUUGACACAUAAUGGCCUGUCAUCUCCCAAUUCGUCUAUGUCAUCGAUGAGUGCAUUUUCUCCACAAGAUCAGUGUGAGAUGUGGAGUCCAGGGUUCAGGAAUAAUUCUUCUUUUGAUGUACGCUUAGAUAAUCCUUUCCAUGUGGAAGGACUCAAGGAGUUCAGUGGACCAUACAGCACCAUGGUUGAAGUCCCUUGGAUUUACAGAGAUGGUCAGAAACUGGGUGAUACUGAACAUCUGCUACAAAAUUUCAGGUCCCUUAUUUGUCGAUUAGAAGAAGUAGAUCCUAGGAUGUUGAGUCAUGAAGAGAAGCUAGCAUUCUGGAUUAACAUACACAAUGCGUUGGUGAUGCAUGCAUAUUUGGCUUAUGGGAUUCCACAAAACAAUGUAAAGAGAGUUUUUCUACUCUUAAAGGCAGCAUAUAACAUUGGGGGUCACAUCAUCAGUGCAGACACUAUACAGAGUUCUGUCCUAGGUUGCAGAAUGUCUCGUCCUGGGCAGCCAAAUUUAAAUGCAUCAUCCACGGUUUUCUUAAGUGAGCGUGCUGUUCCUGUUGCAAUAUUUGAAACUGAUGCUGAAAUAAUGAAGCAUUAUGUGCGGAGAUGGUGCAAGAUUUCAUCAGAUGUGGGCAUUCGAUCCAUUAUUGACUGGUCUUAUUACAAGCAAAGGCUUAGUUCAGCAAUUCAGAAAGUUAUUACCAUUCCUGCAGCAAUGCAAAAGGUUGCGAAUCCCGUCCCUAGGGUACUGCAUCCUGAUUGGCUGCAUAAGAAGGUUCGUGAGAAGGAGGACAAGUUUCGACAACGCAAAUUAGUUGAUAUCUUCAGCUCGUUGAACAGGGAUGCAUUUUUGAAAAAGAAUAGUGAUGCUGCUGGCGCCAAUGGUGUGAUGAAUGAAGAAAUUGUUAAAGACUUGGAGGACUUUGGAAACAAAAGCAGAAAAUCUCCUGCAGACUGGGAGGAUAGGGAAUAUAUUGAUGAUCCUAGUGAGGUUAAACCUGAGGGUUAUGAUUCAAUUCCAAAAGAAAUUCCAGACCCAAAAGCUAAAGAGCCUGAUAACUGGGAUGAUGAAGAGAAUGGUGCGUGGAAACCCCCAAAGGUACCUAAUCCAACGUAUAAAGGACCAUGGAAGCCCAAGAAAAUUAAGAACCCCAAUUAUAAAGGAAAAUGGAAGACUCCUUGGAUUGAUAAUCCAGAGUUUGAAGAUGACCCUGAUGUUUAUGGGCUUAAGCCAAUUAAGUAUGUAGGAAUUGAGGUUUGGCAGGUAAAGGGUGGGUCAGUUUACGACAAUGUUUUGAUCUGUGAUGACCCAGAUUAUGCAACACAAGUUGUGGAAGAAGUAUUUGCAAACAGGGAGAUUGAAAAAGAGGCCUUUGAGGAAGCAGAGAAAGUGAGAAAAGCACGAGAGGAAGAGGAAGCUCAAAGAGCAAGAGAAGAAGGUGAAAGGAGGAGAAGAGAGCGGGGUUCUGAUCGACGGUACAGGGAUAGAUAUAAGGACAGAUACAGAAGGGACCGUCGUGAUUACAUGGAUGAUUACCAUAAAUUUCUACUGAACAAACGUGAAAUGGAGUUGUUGAAGUUAGAAAACAAGGUUAGGUUUAUCCUUGCAGUUGUGAAGGGAGAGAUCAUUGUAAGUAAUAGGAAGAGAGCUGAUCUGUUUGUUGAGCUGCAAACAAAAGGUUUCACUCCUUUUCCAAAGAAAACUAAAGCUGUUGAGCCAGAAGUUGCUGGUGCAACUGAUGAUACAGAAGAAACAGAAGUGAAAUCUCCUGCUGACAGCAGUAGUAAUGGGGUACAGAUAAGUGAUUAUGAGUAUCUACUGGCCAUGGCAAUUGGAAGCUUGACCAUUGAGAAGGUUCAGGAGUUAUGCGCUGAAAGGGAUAAGGUCAAUAAGGAGGUUGAUGAUUUGAGAAAGGAAACUCCAAAGUCCUUUUGGAGGACAGAUCUUGAUGCUUUGGAGGGGCAACUCGAUUGAUGUGAGUCAGAGGAGUUAAGAAAGAAAAUGAGAGGCAAAGCAAGGGGUGAAGCUGCUAUGAAGUCUGCUAGACAAGCACCCAAGAACCCACGCAAGAACAAUAAUAAGAAGGCAAAUAAUGCAGAAUCUGUUGCAGAAGCUGUCUCGUCAUCUGUGGCUGCAAUGGAAAUUGAGAAAGCUCCUGAGGCAGCAAAACCCAUAGACAGAGCAGGCUCUAGGAAAGCUCCUGCUAAGGUCUGUUUCUGUUCCUAUGUUCUAUUUUUCCUUGGAAAGGAUGAGCUUAAAGAACGACUUGCUGCCUAUAACCUCGAUGCAUCUCCUGAUCAAUCAGCCGCCAUGGAGACUGAAGUGCCCAAAGUACCAGCCAAGAAGAAAGAACCUAGCAAAAGGGCUGCUGCUGCACAGAAGAAGAAGCCCUUGGCAACUGUUUCGGAGAUAUCUGAUGAUGAUGAUGAUGAUUAUAAUGAUAUUAAUGAAAUUGAUGAUGAUGAUGAUGAUGAUGAUGAAGAUAGUGAGAUAGAAGUUGUAGCUACUCCAGAAACGAGGAAAAAGGGCGGGGGAAAACUGGCUGCAAAUGCUAAGGCAGUUAAGGCCCCUGCAGCGGCAAAGAAGAGAGGUGCAGCGAAUAAGCAGCAGCCUCAGACAUUGGCCCAGAAGCUUUUAACUGACAUGUUAAAGCCUGCUGAAAAUUCCAGGAUUUCACUGGAGAAGAAAGUGAGAAAGAUGAGGGCAUCUCCAUUCAACAAGAAAAGUGGUUCUGUGUUGGGAAGGGUUGGUAAGGUAAAUGAAGUGACUGAAAAUGAAGAAAAUUCCGGUUCUGCUUCUACUUCUGCCAGUACUGAAGAAACUAUUGAAGUUGCACCAGCAAGAGCAAGACCUCAAAGGGUGAACCAAGUUAGAAAACAAGGUAUGUGUUGAGUGACUCUGAAAGUGAACAUGCCACUGAGGAUUCUGAAUUUGAUGAAGUGACUGAUGAAAGUGAAAACAAGAAAACAAAAACAAAAAACAAAAAUAGCAUCACCUCUUUUGCUUGCUAAGCUUAACUUCUUUUUGUGC